UACGUAGGGUGCGAGCGUUGUCCGGAUUUAUUGGGCGUAAAGGGCUCGUAGGCGGUUGAUCGCGUCGGAAGUGGAAACUUGAUGCUUAACGUUGAGCGUGCUUUCGAUACGGGUUGACUUGAGGAAGGUAGGGGAGAAUGGAAUUCCUGGUGGAGCGGUGGAAUGCGCAGAUAUCAGGAGGAACACCAGUGGCGAAGGCGGUUCUCUGGACCUUUCCUGACGCUGAGGAGCGAAAGCGUGGGGAGCGAACAGG
This 253-nucleotide ribosomal RNA is filed under the name uncultured bacterium. RNAcentral describes it as "partial 16S ribosomal RNA". It matches the Rfam family "Bacterial small subunit ribosomal RNA", at positions 524 to 776 of the family's 1533-position model. The record is from RNAcentral.